Molecule: ribosomal RNA, 797 nt
Filed under: uncultured Actinomycetales bacterium
Lineage: Bacteria; Bacillati; Actinomycetota; Actinomycetes; Actinomycetales
Description: bacterial SSU rRNA
Rfam family: Bacterial small subunit ribosomal RNA
Source: RNAcentral
GGCGAACGGGUGAGGAACACGUGAGAAAUCUGCCUUCAACUCUGGGAUAACUCCGGGAAACCGGGGCUAAUACCGGAUAUGAGCCUCUUUCGCAUGAAGGGGGCUGGAAAGUUUUUCGGUUGAAGAUGAUCUCGCGGCCUAUCAUCUUGUUGGUGAGUAGUGGCUCACCAAGGCGACGACGGGUAGCCGGCCUGAGAGGGCGACCGGCCACACUGGGACUGAGACACGGCCCAGACUCCUACGGGAGGCAGCAGUGGGGAAUAUUGCGCAAUGGACGAAAGUCUGACGCAGCGACGCCGCGUGAGGGAUGAAGGCCUUCGGGUUGUAAACCUCUUUCAGUAGGGAAGAAGCGAAAGUGACGGUACCUACAGAAGAAGCACCGGCUAACUAUGUGCCAGCAGCCGCGGUAAUACAUAGGGUGCAAGCGUUGUCCGGAAUUAUUGGGCGUAAAGAGCUCGUAGGUGGUUCGAUACGUCGGAUGUGAAAAUCAGGGGCUCAACCCCUGACCUGCAUUCGAUACGGUCGAGCUAGAGUGUGGUAGGGGAGACUGGAAUUCCUGGUGUAGCGGUGGAAUGCGCAGAUAUCAGGAGGAACACCGAUGGCGAAGGCAGGUCUCUGGGCCAUUACUGACACUGAGGAGCGAAAGCGUGGGGAGCGAACAGGAUUAGAUACCCUGGUAGUCCACGCCGUAAACGGUGGGCGCUAGUUGUGGGAACCUUCCACGGUUUCUGCGACGCAGCUAACGCAUUAAGCGCCCCGCCUGGGGAGUACGAUCGCAAGAUUAAAAAUCUAAUGAA